Molecule: long non-coding RNA, 304 nt
Filed under: Coffea arabica (coffee)
Lineage: Eukaryota; Viridiplantae; Streptophyta; Magnoliopsida; Gentianales; Rubiaceae
Description: long non-coding RNA (CARA_LNC005743)
Source: RNAcentral
AAGUACUUUACCGGUGCGGACAAUUAUCACAUUAGACAGAAAUUCAUGGAGCUGACUUCACUUUGAUUAGUUCGCUGACAUAUGGGUUGCUCGGUUUUAAUAUCCUGCUUUAUAGGAGCCUAAACAAUGUAUUAUAUAUAUACUGUACCUCUCGCGGAUCGUUGCUAAUGUUGUACAAUUACGUUAGCUGACUUUUAGUUCAACAAAUUAUACUUGUUAGGGAAUCUUUCAAGUUUGCACUUGUUAGGGAUUUGCUAUGUUAGUACUUGUUACUGACUUUUAGUUCAACAAAUUAUAUUUGAGC